Molecule: ribosomal RNA, 439 nt
Filed under: uncultured bacterium
Lineage: Bacteria
Description: partial 16S ribosomal RNA
Rfam family: Bacterial small subunit ribosomal RNA
Source: RNAcentral
CUACGGGAUGCUGCAGUGAGGAAUAUUGCACAAUGGGGGGAACCCUGAUGCAGCAACGCCGCGCGGAGGAUGACGCAUUUCGGUGUGUAAACUCCUUUUAUAUGUCAAGAAAUUGACGGUAGCAUAUGAAUAAGCACCGGCUAACUCCGUGCCAGCAGCCGCGGUAAUACGGAGGGUGCAAGCGUUACUCGGAAUCACUGGGCGUAAAGGACGCGUAGGCGGGUUGGAAAGUCAGGUGUGAAAUCCUACAGCUUAACUGUAGAACUGCACUUGAAACUUCUAAUCUAGAGUAUGGGAGGGGGAGAUGGAAUUAGUGGUGUAGGGGUAAAAUCCGUAGAUAUCACUAGGAAUACCUAAAGCGAAGGCGAUCUCCUGGAACAUUACUGACGCUAAGGCGUGAAAGCGUGGGGAGCAAACAGGAUUAGAUACCCCAGUAGUC